GGCGAGAUGGCCGAGCGGUCUAAGGCGCUAGAAUCAGGACCUGGUGGGCCUUGGCACCAUUGCGUACACAAUGGCGCCAGGACCCACCUCUCCAUCUAGUCUUUCGGGGCGCGAGUUCGAAUCUCGCUCUCGUCA
Schizophyllum commune H4-8 is the source of this 135-nucleotide non-coding RNA. NCBI's taxonomy places the organism in Eukaryota, Fungi, Basidiomycota, Agaricomycetes, Agaricales, Schizophyllaceae. The record is from Rfam.